Molecule: ribosomal RNA, 504 nt
Filed under: uncultured bacterium
Lineage: Bacteria
Description: bacterial SSU rRNA
Rfam family: Bacterial small subunit ribosomal RNA
Source: RNAcentral
CUCAGGAUGAACGCUAGCUACAGGCUUAACACAUGCAAGUCGAGGGCAGCAUGUGGUUGCUGCAACCAAUGAUGGCGACCGGCGCACGGGUGAGUAACGCGUAUCCAACCUUCCCUAUAGUAGAGGAUAGCCCGGCGAAAGUCGGAUUAAUACUCUAUGUUUUCCAAUGCAGACAUCUAAGUUGGAACAAAGGUUCACCGCUAUAGGAUGGGGAUGCGUCUGAUUAGAUAGUCGGCGGGGUAACGGCCCACCGAGUCGACGAUCAGUAGGGGUUCUGAGAGGAAGGUCCCCCACAUUGGAACUGAGACACGGUCCAAACUCCUACGGGAGGCAGCAGUGAGGAAUAUUGGUCAAUGGGCGAGAGCCUGAACCAGCCAAGUAGCCGUGCAGGAUGACGGCCCUAUGGGUUGUAAACUGCUUUUAUACAGGGAUAAAGUGACGUACGUGUACGUUUUUGUAGGUACUGUAUGAAUAAGGACCGGCUAAUUCCGUGCCAGCCGCCGC